This 1413-nucleotide long non-coding RNA is filed under the name Medicago truncatula (barrel medic). RNAcentral describes it as "long non-coding RNA (MTRU_LNC008643)". Lineage: Eukaryota; Viridiplantae; Streptophyta; Magnoliopsida; Fabales; Fabaceae. The record is from RNAcentral.
UUUACCUUCUUUCCAACACCUAAAAAUGAUGGAAUAAACAAAAAGUUAAGAUGAAUAGAGAUAGGUAGUCAUGGGAUGGCAAUGGGUACCCUAUGGGUAUUGGGUAGGGUACUGCAAUGCCCUUCCCCCAUACCCGCAUUUGUAAAAUAUACUCGUACCCAUGUCCGCACCUUUGUGGACAACAACUUUAAUACUCUUCCCCAUACCCUAUGGGUACCCAAGUGCCCGUACCCGCACCCAUUACCCGCACUUUAACUAUGAAAAGACAUUAAAAACAUCACAAUUGAAAUAAAACUAUGGUCCAAUUUUUUUUAAAUUAACUCAUAAAAUAGUAUGAAUUCGAUCGUAGUAUUUAGUCAAAUAAAAAACAUCCAAAAUAUCCCUAAAAAAUUUUACACAGGCAGGAUGGAGCCGUUAUUGUAGUAAGUAGUUUUUUGGUUUAGGUUUAGGUUUAGGCUUAAAUAGCUAAAUAAAUAAAUUAAUUAUACACCAAAAAUAAAUAAAUUAUUUACGAUAUUAUAUAAAUAUGUAUAUGCGUGGUUGCGGGGCUGAGCAGUAUAGUACCCUUACCCGUGCCCAUACCCAUUUAAAUUUGUGGGUAUUACCCGGACCCGUGCCCAAACCCAUGAAAGCGGGGUUUUACCCUACCUAUCAUGGGUAUUUUUUGCGGGCACCCAUCGGGUCUGGGUCUAAUUGCCAUCCCUCACGAUCUUAAUGCAUUCUCAAUGGGGCUUCUUCAAUGGAUAUGCAGAGAGUUGCUUACUGCAUUUGUUUAGUCUUGAUUGCCCAGUUCAUUUAUUUUUUGUUCUCUUUUAGCAGGACACCUUUUUGUUUGAUAUUGUACUGUGUCUCUUCUUGCUAAUAACUUUAUCUAUUUUCCUAAAACACUAGGUAAGAUCUUUCUGCUGCUACAGAAGCAGACUUUAAAAGUUGAUACAUGUGACAGGAUAUUCAUCCACAUGUUUAAUUAAAAUAACUUUUGAUCUGAUGAUGCUGCCAUUUGAAUCACUUAUAUAUAUAUAUGGGGAGGGAUAUUUUGACUCCAAGAGUAACUCAAAAGAGUUACUCCAAAUCCUGACCCUUCAUCCUAAUAUUAAUUAAUGGCUAUAAUUGAUUCUUAAUCAUCCCUAUAUCAUGAUCUUUCCAUACCUUCUUCCUAAUUCCGACGGCAAAACACUUGGAAAAUGGCUUUUGAUACAUACUGAUACAUGUGUUGCCUUGAAUUCAAUCCAAAAGAAUUAUUAGAGGUACGGUUUCACAAUUUUGUUAUGUUGUUUUACUGCUACAAAUCAUUGUGCACAAGGAAUCGGUUUCAUCAAAAUUCCAUGUAUAAUCGGAAGCCACUCAUCAAACUAGGACCUUUUAAUUUGCAAUCAACGGGUUUUGAAACACAAUAUUUUCAAUAAUUUGGUG